GUCCCGUCACGUUGUGAGAGCGCGCGCGCGUUAACUUUAGGGGUCGUUCUCGUGCACUCGCGUGUUCUGACAGGUGAGCGCGCGCAGCUGCCUGGUCGCUCUGCGUUUGACAGAUGGAGUUGGUUUGACUUGGAGUCAGGGCAGAAGCGUUUGGUUAAAAACAGGACGAAAUUGAGGUCUUUUUUUAUCUGCAAUGAGAGGUGAACAGACUGAAAAUGGAGAAAACUCAACGAACUCGGAGAGCAAAAUCCUGAUGAACCAGCUGAUGGAGAUCACUGGCAUCCAGGACCCACAGAUCCUCUACAGAGCCUUGAAUGCCAGUCAGGGUGACGUCGGACAUGCUGUUGGACUGCUGACAACCCAGUCUGCAGAGGUUCAGGAUCCUGGUGAGCCACAGGAGUCAGGGACCUCUGCAGAGGCCUGGGAGGGCCAGAAAGGACUUCCUAAAGAUGAACUGCAGACUGCCAUAGAACUCAGCCUGCAGGAAUCCCACAAUGCCCAGGAAGAGGAGAGAGAAUUAAAUAGGUACAAGAGAACCUGCUUUUUAUAAAAUCCUUCUUUGUUACUGUACUGCUGACUGUCAUGGAGAAUAG
This 593-nucleotide long non-coding RNA is filed under the name Sander lucioperca (pikeperch). RNAcentral's name for it is "lncRNA (ENSSLUG00000012777.1)". The record is from RNAcentral. Lineage: Eukaryota; Metazoa; Chordata; Actinopteri; Perciformes; Percidae.